RNAcentral lists this ribosomal RNA (245 nucleotides) under uncultured prokaryote. Its description in RNAcentral is "partial 16S ribosomal RNA". It matches the Rfam family "Bacterial small subunit ribosomal RNA", at positions 524 to 768 of the family's 1533-position model. The record is from RNAcentral.
UACGGAGGAUGCAAGCGUUAUCCGGAUUUAUUGGGUUUAAAGGGUGCGUAGGCGGAUAUGUAAGUCAGCGGUGAAACUCACAGGCUCAACCUGUGCCGUGCCGUUGAAACUGUGUAUCUGGAAUGCGGAUGCUGUGGGAGGAAUGUGUAGUGUAGCGGUGAAAUGCAUAGAUAUUACACAGAACACCGAUUGCGAAGGCAGCUUACUAAUCCAUCAUUGACGCUGAGGCACGAAAGCGUGGGGAU